UACGUAGGGUGCGAGCGUUGCCCGGAUUUAUUGGGCGUAAAGGGCGCGUAGGCGGCUCUGCACGUCCGUUGUGAAAUCGCCCGGCUCAACUGGGCGGGGUCAGCGGAUACGGCGGAGCUUGAGCAAGCUAGGGGGCAAUGGAAUUCCCGGUGUAGUGGUGGAAUGCGUGGAGAUCCGGAAGAACACCGGUGGCGAAGGCGGCCUGCUGGGCAGUAGCUGACGCUGAGGCGCGACAGCGUGGGGAGCAAACAGG
This 253-nucleotide ribosomal RNA is filed under the name uncultured bacterium. Its description in RNAcentral is "partial 16S ribosomal RNA". It matches the Rfam family "Bacterial small subunit ribosomal RNA", at positions 524 to 776 of the family's 1533-position model. The record is from RNAcentral.